Molecule: ribosomal RNA, 979 nt
Filed under: uncultured Bacteroidota bacterium
Lineage: Bacteria; Pseudomonadati; Bacteroidota
Description: bacterial SSU rRNA
Rfam family: Bacterial small subunit ribosomal RNA
Source: RNAcentral
CAGCAGCCGCGGUAAUACGUAGGGAGCAAGCGUUGUCCGGAUUUACUGGGUGUAAAGGGCGCGCAGGCGGGUCAGUAAGUCAGAGGUGAAAUCCUACAGCUCAACUGUAGAACUGCCUUUGAUACUGCUGAUCUUGAGUAUGGAAGAGAGAGACGGAAUUCCAGGUGUAGUGGUGAAAUACGUAGAUAUCUGGAAGAACACCAGUUGCGAAGGCGGUCUCUUGGUCCAAUACUGACGCUGAGGCGCGAAAGCGUGGGUAGCAAACAGGAUUAGAUACCCUGGUAGUCCACGCCGUAAACGAUGGAUACUAGUUGUUGGGUUUCGACUCAGUGACUAAGCGAAAGUGAUAAGUAUCCCACCUGGGGAGUACGGUCGCAAGACUGAAACUCAAAGGAAUUGACGGGGGCCCGCACAAGCGGUGGAGCAUGUGGUUUAAUUCGAUGAUACGCGAGGAACCUUACCAGGGCUUAAAUGCAUAUUGACAGGGGUAGAGAUACCUUUUCCUUCGGGCAAUUUGCAAGGUGCUGCAUGGUUGUCGUCAGCUCGUGCCGUGAGGUGUCAGGUUAAGUCCUAUAACGAGCGCAACCCCUACCGUUAGUUGCCAGCGAGUCAUGUCGGGGACUCUAACGGGACUGCCGGUGCAAACCGUGAGGAAGGUGGGGAUGACGUCAAAUCAUCACGGCCCUUACGUCCUGGGCCACACACGUGCUACAAUGGCCGGUACAGAGAGCAGCCAUCUGGCAACAGAGAGCGAAUCUACAAAACCGGUCACAGUUCGGAUCGGGGUCUGCAACUCGACCCCGUGAAGCUGGAAUCGCUAGUAAUCGGAUAUCAGCCAUGAUCCGGUGAAUACGUUCCCGGGCCUUGUACACACCGCCCGUCAAGCCAUGGAAGCUGGGAGUGCCUGAAGUUCGUUACCGUGAGGAGCGACCUAGGGUAAAACUGGUAACUAGGGCUAAGUCGUAACAAGGUAACCGUA